Molecule: non-coding RNA, 1431 nt
Organism: Chrysemys picta bellii (western painted turtle)
Lineage: Eukaryota; Metazoa; Chordata; Testudines; Emydidae
Source: RefSeq, a predicted model, not a curated record
UUCCGUCCGGCGCUCGCUGGGGCAGGGAGCUGGCCAAGGAACUACAGCUCCCAGGGCCCCGCGGGGUCUGAGCGCCCAGGGGGAUCCCCGGCUCCCAGGCCCGCUCCCAGCGCCUCCGCUCCAGCGAUGGGCCCCCCCGAGCUGCGCCCGGGUGACUCCGGGCCUGGCCCGGACCGGACGCUGCCGCCGCUGUGAGCCGGCCCCGGCCCCGGCUGGGAGCUGCUGCCCCCGGGCUGCAGAACAACUCCACAUUUCGCUCCAGCUCGUCCCGUCCUCCCAUGGCACAGGGCAGAGAAAUGGCUGCAGCGGAGCCAGUUCAGGGGCCGGUGAGCUUCGAGGAGGUGGCUGUGUAUUUCACCGCGGGGCAGGGGGCCCUGCUGGACCCCGCUCAGAGAGCCCUCUACAGAGACGUCAUGCAGGAGAACUAUGAGAACGUGACCUCGCUGGGUAAGGAUUCCUAUCCCCUCGGUUCUUAGAAGGGGAAAUGCAGAGUUCAGAUUCACGUCAUCCCCACAAUGCCACCUCUACUCUGCCCUGUUUCAGCAUUACCUGACUUGGUUUUGCCGGCUGGUGCCCCAACCUGGUCCCACCCCCUCCCCUAAGGCCCCGUCACUGAGCCCCCACCCCAACUCCAUUUCUCUCUGCUGGCUCCAUGGGUGGUGGGUGAACAGCUGGCGUGGGGAGGCUAGCUCCCCCGCCCCUUCCAUGCCCACCAAACUGAUGGGUUGGAAACAGUGAAUGCUUCUGCCCUGGGACAGGCUGAGGGGGCCCUGCAUGCGCAAGGGCUGAUUUGUGGCUGCCACAGCUGAUUAUCCCAGCGGAUGCUGAGCACCCACCAGUUUUUCCCCUGGAUGCUCCAGCCCCGGCACGCCCAUGGAGUCGGCACCUAUGAACAACACCCCAACGUACCCCUGACACACACCAGCGCUCUGCCCUCCCCUGCUACAGGAUGCUCUGGGAACAGAUCACAGGGGCCGGACAACAUGACGUCUGACAUCUUCUCUUUGCUAAGGAAAAGUCUGGAUUUAGGUUCGGUGUAACGACCCCCGGCCAUCACUCAAACACUGAGCCUGCUCCAUACAAACCAGCUUGGCCUCGCUCUGUAAUCCUGUGGGCCGUCCCUCCGGGUCUGGCCCUCAGGGAGGCCCUGCGGAGCCCUUAGCACUGCACUCAAUUGGUGGGGAAAUGAGCCAUCUUUAGAGCUCAGUCUGCUGGCUCUGGGCUGGGCAAGAGUGAGUCUAUGAACCCGGCCUUCAGGCAGGGCAGGGCACCAGCGGUCAGGGGCAGACUCUGCACACACUGGAACCCCUGAGGGUCAGCACCUCCCCUCCCACCCGCCAGGGAUCAGCUGUUCCGCAGUGUGCAGGAGGGCGGGACAGCGGUGUGAAGAGACAGGGCAGGUGAGGUCUUGGAGGAAGGGGUGGAGUAGGG